This 496-nucleotide ribosomal RNA is filed under the name uncultured bacterium. Its description in RNAcentral is "partial 16S ribosomal RNA". It matches the Rfam family "Bacterial small subunit ribosomal RNA", at positions 30 to 523 of the family's 1533-position model. The record is from RNAcentral.
AUUGAACGCUGGCGGAAUGCUUUACACAUGCAAGUCGAACGGUAGAGGGGGCAACCCCUCGAGAGUGGCGAACGGGUGAGUAAUAUAUCGGGACGUGCCCAGUCGUGGGGGAUAACGUAGCGAAAGUUACGCUAAUACCGCAUACGAUCUAAGGAUGAAAGCGGGGGAUCGCAAGACCUCGCGCGAUUGUAGCGGCCGAUAUCAGAUUAGGUAGUUGGUGGGGUAAAGGCUCACCAAGCAAACGAUCUGUAGCUGGUCUGAGAGGACGACCAGCCACACUGGAACUGAGACACGGUCCAGACUCCUACGGGAGGCAGCAGUGGGGAAUUUUGGACAAUGGACGCAAGUCUGAUCCAGCCAUUCCGCGUGCAGGAUGAAGGCCCUCGGGUUGUAAACUGCUUUUGUACGGAACGAAAAGGUCUCUCUUAAUACGGGGGGCUCAUGACGGUACCGUAAGAAUAAGCACCGGCUAACUACGUGCCAGCCGCCGCCGUAA